RNAcentral lists this long non-coding RNA (1006 nucleotides) under Phoenix dactylifera (date palm). RNAcentral's name for it is "long non-coding RNA (PDAC_LNC016286)". The record is from RNAcentral. Lineage: Eukaryota; Viridiplantae; Streptophyta; Magnoliopsida; Arecales; Arecaceae.
UUUUAUCUAUAGAAAAUGGAUGGAUAGAUUGAUAAUUUACCAUAUCAUUACAGAAAGUAGAUUAUUAAUUUCUAUAUAUAUAUAUAUAUAUUUAUUUAUUUAUUUUUCUGUUCUUAUAUUGCGGAGGACCAGGUGAUGUGGGCCACAACAAAAGUGGCCCAACCAAGAUGCGGACUGAACAGCGCUUCAUGCGCCUUUGUGGACAGCAAGUGCCGUCUGAUGGUUCUCCAUCCCACAUUUCUUUCUUUCUUUCUUUCCAAUAAUCUUUUUUCAGUUCCCACAUGUUUGAUAUGUGGCAAAUUUUAAAUCAGAUGAAUUUCUGAUAUAAGUUAUGUGUUGAAUUACUCAGCAGUCUUCUAACAUUUUGAUUCUGUGCAGAGAUGAAUUGAAGACUUCUCACACCAUUAUUGGGUGAAAUACAAAAAUUAGAUGGAUGAAGUUUUUUCUUAAAUAAUAAUUUUUCAUAACGUGAGAUAAGAGGGAACAUUCAAAGGGAGUGGUGAAUCCCCAGUCUUCAUACUCAUUAAGGAUAAAUAAAUAAAUCUAAAAUUUAUUAGCUUAAAUUUAAACCUGAUAACUUUGAUUGUACCCUCUCAUUCAGGGCUGGAUUUGACUAGUAUCCUUGCUUUCUUCUCUUCUUGCUGCUUUGGUGAUGCAAAGUGGGAUAAAUGUAGGUUCCCUCCAGCUACCAACAUUUUUUUCUUUUAGCUUUCAGAAGAAAUCAAUGUAGUCUAGCUUCUCUAUAAAAAGACAUGGAACGUUUGGCAAACCUCAUGCUUUUGGAUGGAGGCGCGCGAGGUGGUGCGAAUUUUGUGAUAUGAGACCCGCACUCCAGAGUGGUGGCAGCAGGUGGCUGUCAGUUGUUAGGCACGUCGGUUUUCAGGACAGAGUUACGAGCUGUCUGGGCGGAUCUUCGAUAUGCGAGGCAGGUUUUGCAGGCUGGCUCGAUUGUUUUGGAGAGCGACUCGGCCACAGUUAUCAGUUGGAUCCAGGAGGGGCUGAGGGG